UGAGCAUAUUAGGAAGAGAAAACAGGCAUGAGAGGCACAGCUGGGUUGCUACUGUGGGCACGUUAAACCCAGCACGUGGAGCCUUUUGUUCCAUCUCUCCCAUGGCUUCCUAGCAGGAAUACUGCAGCAAAAAGGUUUGAUGUGAGAAUUCACUGAUAAAUGCACCCUCUUGUUCUGCUUCCUGGGUGAGAGGAGGAGCUGGAAUGAACUUGGCAAAUCAGAAACACGUGUUUCCAUCAGUGAGGCACGUUUGGGAGCUGAAAGCAUUCGCUUUGUGCCAAGCAGACUGCUGAAUGGAAGCUUUUCAGCAGUGGCAGUUUAUCAGCUGCUGGUGGAGGAGGUUUUAGAGCAGAACAACCCAUCUCCAAGCACCUGAGUCACGUCUUGCUUUAAAGAGAGCCUGUUCCACAUAGCCUGAUGCUCAAAAAGAAGGCUGCACCACCUCUCCUGCGCCGUGCUCAAAGCAUGUAUUCUUUGCAUGACGUUUGCAUGCUUUCUUUUGCUUGGAGAACAGUGCAGAAAGUCAAGUUAGAGCUCCUGAAGAAGUUAGAAGAGCCACUGCAAAACACACUCCCCACCUAAACGCUGCAUCCUGUGCAUCACAUUUGGCUAAUGUGCUGUGAUUAAAGGAACUGGAGACAAGUGUGGGUUGUUUUUUUUUUCCCCUCCC
RNAcentral lists this long non-coding RNA (670 nucleotides) under Chrysolophus pictus (golden pheasant). RNAcentral describes it as "lncRNA (ENSCPIG00010008755.1)". The record is from RNAcentral. Lineage: Eukaryota; Metazoa; Chordata; Aves; Galliformes; Phasianidae.